This 429-nucleotide ribosomal RNA is filed under the name Chloroflexota bacterium. RNAcentral's name for it is "Chloroflexi bacterium partial 16S ribosomal RNA". It matches the Rfam family "Bacterial small subunit ribosomal RNA", at positions 355 to 776 of the family's 1533-position model. Lineage: Bacteria; Bacillati; Chloroflexota. The record is from RNAcentral.
UAGGGAAUCUUCGGCAAUGGACGAAAGUCUGACCGAGCAACGCCGCGUGAGUGAAGAAGGUUUUCGGAUCGUAAAACUCUGUUGUUAGAGAAGAACAAGGACGUUAGUAACUGAACGUCCCCUGACGGUAUCUAACCAGAAAGCCACGGCUAACUACGUGCCAGCAGCCGCGGUAAUACGUAGGUGGCAAGCGUUGUCCGGAUUUAUUGGGCGUAAAGCGAGCGCAGGCGGUUUCUUAAGUCUGAUGUGAAAGCCCCCGGCUCAACCGGGGAGGGUGAUUGGAAACUGGGAGACUUGGGUGCAGAAGAGGGGAGUGGAAUUCCAUGUGUAGCGGUGAAAUGCGUAGAUAUAUGGAGGAACACCAGUGGCGAAGGCGGCUCUCUGGUCUGUAACUGACGCUGAGGCUCGAAAGCGUGGGGAGCAAACAGG